GGGUUUUUAUUUUAUACUUUAAACAUUGAUUUUAUUUUUUAUGUUUUUAGAUGUUCAUGUUUUUGAAUGUUUUAUUUAAAUAAUAUAAAAAAUAAAAUAUAUAUUGACAUGGAUUAAACAAAGAUAUAUAUUAUUCUAUGUUGCAUAAGCAAAUUGGCAAAAUAGAGAUGGAAGAUAAAAAUAUGGUCAAAGUAAU
Molecule: non-coding RNA, 196 nt
Filed under: Borreliella garinii
Lineage: Bacteria; Pseudomonadati; Spirochaetota; Spirochaetia; Spirochaetales; Borreliaceae
Also listed under: 1 other name
Source: RNAcentral